GACUUCCCUGAAAUUAUCUGUUCUGUGGUAGGUAUUUAGCUGUGGGUCCUUUUCAGUCUGUUGAUAUUAAACACAUUUAGCCUCUAAGAAACUAAUCUUACAGUUUCACAUCUG
This 114-nucleotide long non-coding RNA is filed under the name Meriones unguiculatus (Mongolian gerbil). Its description in RNAcentral is "ST7 overlapping transcript 3 conserved region 3 (ENSMUGG00000008433.1)". It matches the Rfam family "ST7 overlapping transcript 3 conserved region 3". Lineage: Eukaryota; Metazoa; Chordata; Mammalia; Rodentia; Muridae. The record is from RNAcentral.